Long non-coding RNA from Contarinia nasturtii (swede midge), 1924 nucleotides. RefSeq lists it as uncharacterized. Lineage: Eukaryota; Metazoa; Arthropoda; Insecta; Diptera; Cecidomyiidae. The record is from RefSeq and is a predicted model, not a curated record. The transcript has 4 exons.
UUGUUUUUUUCAUUCUCAUUUGCGACGUAGACUUCGAAUUAUCAGUAAGUGCACUGUUAAGUCGCCUGCGUCUUCUACCUCAUCAAUACACAACAUUCAUCAAACAAACAAGAAAGAAUACAUAUACCACCGCUCCGGAAUUUUCAUUUUCAAUUUGUUCAAUUUUACUUUAAUCAAGUAGUGCAAAAAAAAUAUAUAAAGAAUUUCUGUUUUUGGGGUUCAAAUUCACAUCGAUCGUCAAUCUGCAUAAUCGUGAUCGCCAGGAUUUUUGUUGUUAUUGGAACAAAUAUUGUGAUUCAGUUUGAUGUUUGCACGGACCAAAUAAUUGAAGCCAGAAAAUGCUUGAAUUUGCGCUCUCCGAGAAAUGUGUACCGACCUCAUGUUCAAAUCUACUGCGAGCGAGCUUUUCCAGUACCCACUGCUCAUGUGCUAUGCCCAAUUAAAAUUAAUUCAAUUAAAUCAUCAUCUCAAUUAACAUAUGUUUCGAGACGCAGCAUGAAAUCUAUUCAAAACCACAUUGAUCAAUUCAUUCACAAAAGUGCACGCAUCAAGUACGAUACUAAUCACAGACAAAUUCAUGUUAACGCUUAACGAUAGAAAGAGAAAAAAAAAGAAAGCCAAAUUUGAGCGAGAAACGUUUCAUGAUAGAAUUUUGUGCUGUCUUUAUUUCUGUGUUUUCGUCGAUACAUUUUUUUCUCUGUUUGCGAACAUUGGAUUUUUUAUGAAAUGGAGCAAAACGAUUGAUACACACAGGUCCACAAAAAAAAAAUGAAAUAAACGAUAAAUAACAAUAUCUGGUAAUAAUUUAUUGUGUAUCGAUGCCAUAUAACGGUAUAUACAAGUGAGUUCGGCAAACAUGCAUUGGCCAUAUCAUUUGAGUAGAUCGCGGUGUUCAAUAAACUGUCUGAAAAUCGAUGCCACCGCACACUCGAAGGCUUUUUAAUCAAUUUGUAUAUACAAUUUAUAUAAAUAUGGGCGUACUGUAAUCGUCUUGUUUCGAAGCGAAAAUAAAAAGAAACAUAUUUGAGAUGAACGUUAUUGUGUGGUAACAGAUGAACAAAUAUUCGGAUUAGUAAAAUCGUUUGCGUACUAUACAUUCAAUGUUCAGACAGACGUACAAAUAUUUCAAACGGUGAAAAACAAAGGAACGCACUUAAAUGCUGAAAAAUCGCUCUUUAUCGGCGCGCUUUCAAAACUGACAAAUAAACUCACUAUUCUCUACUCCUUUCUCUCUCUUUCUCUGCCUCUUUCUCUCGAUCGUUUGAGAAAAGAACCUGAAACAUCAUUUGGACGACCAGACACCAAACCCAAUUGAAAGCUACACGCAUUAUUGGCCUGAAAUCCAUCACAAAACGAAAAAUCACUUCGAAAUCGUAGUUAUGUAUGCGCACACAUUCACGAAAAAUAUGAUCGGAAUGCUGAGGCCCGUUUUGAAGAUUAUUUGAUGUGAUGGCAUUUCAUCAUCACAAUUCGGGCUCAUCAUUCUCCCUGUUUACAAAUCAACAUGAGCAUUGCGUCACGAAAUGUGUGUUCCGUUGGUGUGGUUUCAAGUGCCUAUGCCGUUGUUUCUUCUUUUAUUGCCUAUUGCUCCUUUUCUGUUUACUUGACCUAAAUAAUUCUCCUACGACGUUAAAUCACACACGAAACAUUGAUACCCUCAACAAAAAAAACUGUUCCCAUGAGAUCGAGAGACUAAACAAAAUGUUUCGGUCAUUGCGACGACAAAUUGAAUUGAUGAAUGUAGAGAGAGCGAAAAAAACAACAAGACAAAACGUUCAAUUUGAAGUAGUCAAUUUGCUUGAAUUUUCAAUUCAAUUUUUUUUAAAAGGCGAUGAAAAAAACGCGUCCGAAAAAAGUGGCUUCGCAUUUUAAAAAUGUUGACAUCGGAUAUUGGCGCACGCGAAAGCAAUUUACAGUUGAGACA